This 324-nucleotide ribosomal RNA is filed under the name uncultured eukaryote. Its description in RNAcentral is "partial 18S ribosomal RNA". It matches the Rfam family "Eukaryotic small subunit ribosomal RNA", at positions 1470 to 1796 of the family's 1831-position model. The record is from RNAcentral.
CCCUUAGAUGUUCUGGGCCGCACGCGCGCUACACUGAUACAUUCAACGAGUUUCUUCCUGGUCCGAGAGGAAUGGGUAACCUUUUGAAAGUGCAUCGUGAUAGGGAUAGACUAUUUCAAUUAUUGGUCUUCAACGAGGAAUUCCUAGUAGACGUAGUUCAUCAGACUGCAUCGAUUACGUCCCUGCCCUUUGUACACACCGCCCGUCGCUCCUACCGAUUGAAUGCUCAGGUGAGCCAUUCGGACUUUCUUCAUGCUGGUUUCCAGUUUUGAUGAAGGAAAGUCUUGCGAACCUUAUCAUUUAGAGGAAGGAGAAGUCGUAACA